GAAGGAGGGUGCGAGGGUUAAUCGGAAUUACUGGGCGUAAAGCGCGCGUAGGCGGUUUGUUAAGUCGGAUGUGAAAUCCCCGGGCCCAAACUGGGAACUGCACCCGAUACUGGCCGACUUGAGUGCGAGAGAGGGAGGUAGAAUUCCACGUGUAGCGGUGAAAUGCGUAGAUAUGUGGAGGAAUACCGGUGGCGAAGGCGGCCUCCUGGCUCGACACUGACGCUGAGGUGCGAAAGCGUGGGGAGCAAACAGG
This 253-nucleotide ribosomal RNA is filed under the name uncultured bacterium. RNAcentral describes it as "partial 16S ribosomal RNA". It matches the Rfam family "Bacterial small subunit ribosomal RNA", at positions 524 to 776 of the family's 1533-position model. The record is from RNAcentral.